ACUUCGAGACGAAUCCAUAGGAU
Molecule: microRNA, 23 nt
Filed under: Ananas comosus (pineapple)
Lineage: Eukaryota; Viridiplantae; Streptophyta; Magnoliopsida; Poales; Bromeliaceae
Description: microRNA s0734_c95a
Source: RNAcentral